RNAcentral lists this ribosomal RNA (253 nucleotides) under uncultured bacterium. RNAcentral's name for it is "partial 16S ribosomal RNA". It matches the Rfam family "Bacterial small subunit ribosomal RNA", at positions 524 to 776 of the family's 1533-position model. The record is from RNAcentral.
UACGUAGGGGGCUAGCGUUGUCCGGAAUCAUUGGGCGUAAAGAGCGUGUAGGCGGCCCGGUAAGUCCGCUGUGAAAGUCGGGGGCUCAACCCUCGAAUGCCGGUGGAUACUGUCGGGCUAGAGUGCGGAAGAGGCGAGUGGAAUUCCUGGUGUAGCGGUGAAAUGCGUAGAGAUCCGGAGGAACACCAGUGGCGAAGGCGACACGCUGGGUCAUACCUGACGCUAAUACGCGACAGCAUGGGGAGCAAACGGG